Molecule: long non-coding RNA, 498 nt
Filed under: Rattus norvegicus (Norway rat)
Lineage: Eukaryota; Metazoa; Chordata; Mammalia; Rodentia; Muridae
Description: long non-coding RNA NONRATT021614
Source: RNAcentral
AGGGUAUUCAGUCACCUGGGCUACCUAAAAGACAUCAAAGGGCCCCAGAUCCCCGGAGGACUGGGUAGGAGCUGUUACCUGCUCUUCCUCAGGGCUGAGGUCGGGAGUCCUAACCGGAGCAUGUGGCACUCCAGCCCAGCGACCCCGGUUCUCAGGGAGGGGGCGAAGGGGCAGACCAGAGCACAGUUCCUGGAGGCUGGACAUGUCCGCUGAAACUGAGGUGAAGGGAAACUUUCUACUCCUGAACCCCAGGGAGGGGAGAGGUGGAGGUGGGGUUGAUCACCGCUGACAGAUGCCACCAGUCAUGAUGGCGUAAAGAGUACCACAAAGUCCCUAAGGAAGGAUUCACAGGGCUCCUAUCAAGACAGCAGAGACCCUUGGAACACCAAGAAGCCCAGAAGGGUCUACAACUCUCAAAACUCACCCUGAAUGCCUUCUACUGGGCUGACACCCGAAUCCUUCAUGGUACACAGGAGAAUAAAGUAACAUGUUACUGUG